RNAcentral lists this ribosomal RNA (155 nucleotides) under Amauroderma subrugosum. Its description in RNAcentral is "5.8S ribosomal RNA". It matches the Rfam family "5.8S ribosomal RNA". From Rfam's summary of the family: 5.8S ribosomal RNA (5.8S rRNA) is a component of the large subunit of the eukaryotic ribosome. It is transcribed by RNA polymerase I as part of the 45S precursor that also contains 18S and 28S rRNA. Lineage: Eukaryota; Fungi; Basidiomycota; Agaricomycetes; Polyporales; Polyporaceae. The record is from RNAcentral.
AACUUUCAACAACGGAUCUCUUGGUUCUGGCAUCGAUGAAGAACGCAGCGAAAUGCGAUAAGUAAUGUGAAUUGCAGAAUUCAGUGAAUCAUCGAAUCUUUGAACGCACAUUGCGCCCGCCAGUAUUCUGGCGGGCAUGCCUGUCCGAGCGCCAU